UACGGAGGGGGCAAGCGUUGUUCGGACUCACUGGGCGUAAAGCGUGCGUAGGCAGUGUGGUGCGUCGGGUCUGAAAGCGCCCGGCUUAACUGGGAGGCGGGGGACGAUACGAUAGCGCUAGAGUGAGGGAGAGGUGAGUGGAAUUCCUGGUGUAGUGGUGAAAUGCGUAGAGAUCCGGAGGAAUGCCGGUGGCGUAGGCGGCCAACGAGACCGUUCCUGACGCUGAGGCACGAAAGCGUGGGGAGCAAACCGG
Molecule: ribosomal RNA, 253 nt
Filed under: uncultured bacterium
Lineage: Bacteria
Description: partial 16S ribosomal RNA
Rfam family: Bacterial small subunit ribosomal RNA
Source: RNAcentral